Molecule: long non-coding RNA, 408 nt
Organism: Pollicipes pollicipes
Lineage: Eukaryota; Metazoa; Arthropoda; Thecostraca; Pollicipedomorpha; Pollicipedidae
Exons: 3
Source: RefSeq, a predicted model, not a curated record
GUGUGGGAGCGUCAGCUGGCGGCCGCACAGCUGGCGCAGAUUCGCGCCGGCCUCAACUGGACGGCGCUGGGCGCGCCCUGCCGCCGCGCCGUCCGCGGUCUGCUGGACGGCCUGGACGACCUGGCUGGCUGGGCCUGGGAAAUGUUCGACUCCAACGGCCGUCCAGAGUCCGGCUUCAGCGACGGCAAUAGCUUCUGGGAGGGCCGCUUUUCCCAGUGCAACAGCGUGCUGCACGACCUGAUCGUGGUCAACGACACCGUUCCACAUCAAGGGCCGCUACUACAAGGCCCUGCUGUCCGGUGUUCUGGAGCAGGAACAGCAGAGCUUCCGCGUCACCGUCGGCACCUGCUUCCCUGACCUCUGCACCAACGGUGACGUCAAGGCCAUGCUCAAUCUCGCGCCCGGCUU